AACGAACGCUGGCGGCAUGCCUAACACAUGCAAGUCGAACGAGACCUUCGGGUCUAGUGGCGCACGGGUGCGUAACGCGUGGGAACCUGCCCUUAGGUUCGGAAUAACUCCCCGAAGGGGUGCUAAUACCGGAUAAUGUCUUCGGACCAAAGAUUUAUCGCCUUUGGAUGGGCCUGCGUUGGAUUAGCUAGUUGGUAGGGUAAAAGCCUACCAAGGCGACGAUCCAUAGCUGGUCUGAGAGGAUGAUCAGCCACACUGGGACUGAGACACGGCCCAGACUCCUACGGGAGGCAGCAGUGGGGAAUAUUGGACAAUGGGCGAAAGCCUGAUCCAGCAAUGCCGCGUGAGUGAUGAAGGCCUUAGGGUUGUAAAGCUCUUUUACCCGGGAUGAUAAUGACAGUACCGGGAGAAUAAGCUCCGGCUAACUCCGUG
Molecule: ribosomal RNA, 432 nt
Filed under: uncultured bacterium
Lineage: Bacteria
Description: partial 16S ribosomal RNA
Rfam family: Bacterial small subunit ribosomal RNA
Source: RNAcentral